Molecule: ribosomal RNA, 275 nt
Filed under: uncultured bacterium
Lineage: Bacteria
Description: partial 16S ribosomal RNA
Rfam family: Bacterial small subunit ribosomal RNA
Source: RNAcentral
CCUACGGGGGGCUGCAGUGGGGAAUAUUGGACAAUGGGCGCAAGCCUGAUCCAGCAACGCCGCGUGAAUGAUGAAGGCCUUCGGGUUGUAAAGUUCUUUUAGCAGGGAAGAAAAUGACGGUACCUGCAGAAUAAGCUCCGGCUAACUUCGUGCCAGCAGCCGCGGUAAUACGAAGGGGGCUAGCGUUGUUCGGAAUUACUGGGCGUAAAGCGUGCGUAGGUUGUUAUCCAAGUCAGGGGUGAAAUCCCGAAGCUUAACUUCGGAAUUGCCUUUGA